This 2261-nucleotide long non-coding RNA is filed under the name Homo sapiens (human). Its description in RNAcentral is "CFAP61 antisense RNA 1, transcript variant 2 (CFAP61-AS1)". The record is from RNAcentral. Lineage: Eukaryota; Metazoa; Chordata; Mammalia; Primates; Hominidae.
CUCUUCCUGUGUGGAACCUGGGAAUCAAGUAGCCGGCUUGCCUUGCGGAGGAUCCUGCUUCCCCCUCCUCCACCCCAUUUUUUUCCUUUCACCCAGUAAAACCCUGUUUAACUCACCCUUCAAACCGUCUGCGAGGCUACGUUUUCGUGGCCACGGGACGGACAAGGACCCCAUCUUUAGCUGAACUACGGAAAAGCCCUGCAACACCACCAUCUCAUCGCUGACUUGGAAAUAAGCUAGCAGUGGCUGUGUCAGCAAGACCACCACAUGCAGCAAGGGUGGCCACUUCCAGCUAGCUCCUGCAUCCACAGCUGCCUCGCCCCUAUUGGCUACUGCCAUCCAUGUAACAGACUCUUGGGAAAUAUGCUCGGCUGAAAAACUGCAUUUCCCAACUCAAGACCUAAGAGGUGGUCAGGAGAUACAAGCAGGAGUCCUUGGAUGAGUCUUCAAGUAUUUGAAGACUGGCUGGCCAUCCUGCACACCCUGAAUCUUCACUCCUCUGGCUGCGCAUCUGGAGUGACGGAGCCCCUCCCUCGCUGUGCUUCAGCUUGUUCCUUCCCUUCUUCAGUGGGACUCCAAGGAACGAAGGUCAUAUUGCAAGUACACUUCUGUUUUUGUGGCCAUCCUCUGAUACAACCAUGUUCGGCAGGAGUCACUUGGCAACUUUCAGCUGGUGGAUGGACUGAUCUGGAGGAUCUGAGAUUGUUUCACUCACAUGCCCAGUGCCUUGCAAGGCUGGCUGAAGGGCUGGGAUCAGUGGGGCCUGGGAGGCAGAGAGCUCACCUACAGCGUCUCCAGCGUGGCAACCCCAGGGCAUCAGAACUUCUCACGUGGCACCUCAGGACUCCAGGAGCGACUGCUGCCACAAUCCAGGAGGCACUGUAUGGCCUCUGUGACUUGGCCUCAGAAGUCACACCAUGUCACAACCUUUGCACUUUGUUGGCCGAGGCAGUCACAAGGCUGCCCAGAUUCAAGGAGAGGAGACAUAGACUCUACCUCUUAGAUGGAAGAGGCAUCAAAGAAUUUGCAGCCAUUUUUAAAACAGCCAGUUUUCUUUGACUGCAUGCUUUUAUUUUCCCCUGUAAUCAUUCUCAGAGUGAGAUCUCUAUAUAGUAGGUGCUGUCAAAUGACACGGGGGAGUGUCUUUCUCAGGUCUCUUACUGGGAGGUACAGCACUGGUGUAGAUGGGUCUUUCCUCCCUGCUGUGUGUAGAAGGCUGUCACCUGGGCUGCACCAUUCUGGAUGCCACACUAUUACUGACCCAGUCUAAGACAUGAUUAACCCCUUUGGAGACAAUGUAACAUUGCCGACCCACAUCAAGCUCACUGUAUACUACAGUCUCAGCUCUUCUUCUUGCUUGCUUGGAAGUACCUGCCCUACCUGUCAGCUGCUAGUGACCCCCGACCCAUGAACAGUCCAUACCACAGUCUUCUCAUGCUCAACACCAAGCUCAUUUGAUUUCAGUUGGUACAUUUUUGUUCUUCCUCUUUAUGAGGUUCCUCAAAUCCAGGCCUGGGGAAGGCAUCUCUCUGCUGCUCCAUGACCGUCCAUGAGUCAUGGAGAGUGGCCCUGUGAUCUCAGAGGGGUUUUCAAAACCAGAGUGUGUUUGCCAACAAAAAUGAUCAACAUUGAUUGGAGGGCUGGAGAAGGAGUUAUAGAGUCUGGAAAGUGAGCCAGCUAAAUCUUCAUCUUCGAAAAUGGAGAGGUUGUAGAUAAUGUCUGAAGUUGACAGAGCAAGGAAGGACAUUCUAUAAACAUAUUACUGUAUUUGGAGUUAUGCAGGUAGCCACUGAAAAACUAAGAACAGAAAUGCUUCAAACUGGUUGCCUCUGGAAAGAGAGCUGGGAGGAAGAGUGGGCUGGGAGAGACCAGCUCUCCUCAUGCUUAGCCGUGCAGUGCAAUGUAGUAUUUUACCUUGUGCAUGGAUUUUGUAAUAAGAAAUAGCGAUGUGCAUUUGGAUAUUAAAAACAUUACACAACAAUUUAGAGUGAGGCGUGCCAUUUAAAAGGUCUGAUUAGAGGUUGCGGUUUGUCAUUACAUUUUAUAGAGGGUUGUCUUCUUGCUUUGGGUUUAAGCUCUGUUUUCAUUAUUUUAAUUUGUUUUUUAGAAAAUCACAAAAUUGGGACAAAACCAGGAGAGAGUUGAAGACAAUGGGGGAAGGGGGAGAAAAGCUCCCCAGUGAAUUCAGCUGCCCUUUCUGUACCACUCUAUGUACUUUGAUUUUAUGUCCUUCUGGAAAAAUUAAAUUGGAACUCCCUUUA